This 494-nucleotide ribosomal RNA is filed under the name uncultured bacterium. RNAcentral describes it as "partial 16S ribosomal RNA". It matches the Rfam family "Bacterial small subunit ribosomal RNA", at positions 28 to 507 of the family's 1533-position model. The record is from RNAcentral.
GACGAACGCUGGCGGCGUGCUUAACACAUGCAAGUCGAACGGAAAGGCCUGCUUUCCCUUGUGGCUUGCGGGUACUCGGGUGGCGAAUGGGUGAGUAACACGUGUGUGAUCUGCCCCCAACUUGGGUAUAAGCCUGGUAAACUGGGUCUAAUUCCCUAUAGGACUGCAGUGUGGUCGCUGUGGUUGAACACGUUGUUCUAGUGGUUGGGGAUGAGCUGGCGGCCUCUCAGCUGGUGGGUGGGGUAAUUGCCUACCACGGAGGCGACGGGUAGCCGGCCUGGGGGGGCGGACGUGAUCAGUGGGACUGAGAAACGGCCCAGGCUCCUACGGGCGGCAGCGGUGGGGACUAAGGGAAGAUGGGCGGAAGACUGAUGAAGCGACGCCGAGUGGGGGAUGACGGGCUGCGGGUUGUAAACUCCUGUCGGGGGAGAGGAGGCCACCUGGUUGGAAGGAUAGUGACGGUAGUGGUAGAAGAAGCACCGGCUAACUACGUG